Molecule: transfer RNA, 74 nt
Filed under: Rhodococcus phage Jace
Lineage: Duplodnaviria; Heunggongvirae; Uroviricota; Caudoviricetes
Description: tRNA-Asn
Rfam family: tRNA
About the family: Transfer RNA (tRNA) molecules are approximately 80 nucleotides in length. Their secondary structure includes four short double-helical elements and three loops (D, anti-codon, and T loops).
Source: RNAcentral
UGCCCCGUAGCUCAGUUGGCAGAGCGACUGGCCGUUAACCAGUGCGUCGCAGGUUCGAGCCCUGCCGGGGCAGC